CUAAGCACAUUCACAAUGUCGCACAACUGUCGCCACCAUCCAUCUCCAGAACGUUUUCAUCUUCCCAAACAGAAACUCUGUGCCUGCUCCCCAUCCCCCCGCCCCCUCUGGUAACCGCCAUCCUACUUUGUCUCUACGAAUUUGCCUCAUAUAAGUGGAAUUAAACAUCUGUCCUUUUGUGUCUGGCUUAUUUCACUUAGCAUAAUCGGAUGACCUCUUUUAACAGAUGAGUAAACUGAGGCACAGAGAGACUACGGGGCUUGCCCAGGCUGCGUGCCCUCUCUCACAUCCUUUCUGCCUCCUCUCUCCUGUUCCCCACUUCCCUGUGAGUGUCCCCGUUCGCCUGUCAUGCCCCCAUUUCACCGAGGAAGAGAGAGAGGAGGCAGGAGCCCGAGGUCCUGAGGGGCUGAAGGACUCUGAGCGUGGUGCUCAUACACUCGGGACCACCCUGCUCUGCCGGGAGUGGGGGCUGGGCCAGUCCCAGGGCUUGAUGGGGAACAGGCCAGGGACCGCCACGCCCCUUGCAGGCCCAGUGACUCUUUUCCAAGGCUGACCUGGUGACCAGACCCUGUGGGUUGCCUCAGGCUGCGCUGACAUCACCCCUUCCCGGGGCUCUCCGGGUCAGAGAGGGGACAGGCUGGCAGUUAGCAACAUGGCCCGAGGGGCCGCCCAGGGCAGAGAAGAGCCUGAUCCGCCUCCGGGUGACCCACACAGCCCCGUCCCCCUCCCUGGCCUCCCAGGCUCCGAGUGUGCGUGCUUGGAGAGGGCCAAGGUGCCUGGGAAGCUUUUAGGAAUGGGGAAAAACAUUUAUUGCCUCCCUGCGUGAGCUCGGGGACAUAAGCAAGUCAGGUGGCAAGAUUUCCUCCGGGCGCCACUCAUUUUCUUCAUCUAACUCUUAAAGCGUUUUGGGAUCCAGGGCAGUCCAUGUGUCCACCUGCAAACCCUGCUAACCACUGAGCUUUCUAUAGAUUCAUUCAUUCAUUCAUUUGUUCAGCAAGGAUUGACUGAGAAUGGCUGUGCGCAGGACAAAGGGGCCCCAGUCGCCUGGAGUCCCUGAGCUUGCCGUCAGACAGCCAAGCCCAACAUGCAUCAAAGACUCAGAUGGUGAGCAACCUCAGGCAGCGCCCAGGGCUCUGAGGGAGGAGUCAGGGCCUCGUGGGGACCAUGAAGCAAGCGGAUUAAGACUGGGAGAUGGAGGGCGGCUUCCCUGAGAGGCUGCUGAGCUGAGGGGUACGGACCAGCCAGGCAGAGAACUCCAGGAAGAGCGUCCCCGGCAGAGGAAACAGCACGUGAAAUGGCCCAGAGGCGCGAAAGAACUCGGGUGUCUGCGGAGAGACAAGCCAACAUCUGCAUCGGAAAGCAAAUAGACGCACACGUUUCCCUCCGUUUAACCCAUUAAAGGCCGGCAUUCCAUCA
This is a non-coding RNA of Equus caballus (horse), 1416 nucleotides long. Lineage: Eukaryota; Metazoa; Chordata; Mammalia; Perissodactyla; Equidae. The record is from RefSeq and is a predicted model, not a curated record.